AAAGCCCACUACUCUUUUCUCGGUCGUUUGCGACGCUUAAGAACAACUCUAAUUUAUUGCUUCAGAAGCUCAACCAUCGUCCUUACAUUCACCAAGGCAGAUAAUAAAUUAUUUCAAUCCAGAUUUUUCGUUUUCAAUCUUUUUCAAUUGUUAUUGUUACUUCAAUUUAUAAUUUGUAUUCCUCUUCGUCGUCAGGUUCACUCUCGAUUUCUAGGAUCUGAUUUCGUUUUGAUGUUCGUUGAAUGAUCUUAUAGAGAAACAUGUACGAUUCUUUUGGCCUGUUAAGAGUUCUGAGAAGAUUAAGCAUCAUCAGUUUUCUUUUUGUUCUCCUUGAUUACAUGUUUGAAUAUAGCUCAGGCAACCGGGGCUUCUAGCUCUAAUGGUAAAGGGUUUACAGCUGUGAGUACCGCCACCUGGAGAGAAAAAUGUUGUAGACUUUUUAUAUCAUGCUUCUUACAUAGACUUUGAUUUCUGAGACAAAAUCCUUUCCACCAAGAUUAGCAGGCAUAGCUUCCACAAGCAAGGUUUGGGAGUAGGGAGGUCAGAGGUCGCGCACUGUAAUCAAUGAGCUCGGGUCUCUGAAACUGGAAUUUGACAAGAUAUAAGCCUUUGUAAUCAAAGUUUUACGAGGAGAUGACAGCUUCGGAAGCAAAAUAUCAAAAGUUUUAUAAGCCUUUGUAGACCAAGUUGUUCUAAUACCUCCGACGACUUGAAGCCUUUGCGACAUGCCUUCCCCGAGAACCGAGGAAAGGACCAUUUUCCACCACCACGUUCGCGUCGUUAGGGAGGGGAUAUCCACGUUGGAGAAGGUGCUCCACUGAGUCACGCACCGCCGUCGUCGUGGAAGGAUCGCCGGGGGGUGGGAAAAUAAGAUCUGGAGUCACACUUUAGCUCUAAAAGCCAACCUCCAUCACUACCGCUGCUCCUCUCGUAUUCCUCCAAAAUUUUGUAAAUCCUUAUAGUGUAAUGGUUUCAGACUUCUAUUUGUUCCAGAUGGGUGCUAGGUUCGAAGCCACACACAUAUUCUUUUUUUUUUCAAAUUUUAUUACAUUCUUUUAAUAAUGAUAAUAAGUGAAAUCAUUAGUCAAGAACUCAAGAUACAACCGCAUUUUGAUACAUAUUAGUUUCUUCCCUUUUUUUAACAAUUUUGAUUUUUGUAUAUGUUGAAUUAUAUUAAAAUGUUAAAUGUGAUUUGAUUCUUCAUU
Long non-coding RNA from Brassica napus (rape), 1205 nucleotides. RefSeq lists it as uncharacterized. The transcript has 4 exons. NCBI's taxonomy places the organism in Eukaryota, Viridiplantae, Streptophyta, Magnoliopsida, Brassicales, Brassicaceae. The record is from RefSeq and is a predicted model, not a curated record.